GUUCAGAAGCAAGAGGCUUGGGAGAAAAUGAGUUUAAGCUCAUAAAAACACUCAAAGGGCACACUGGUCAUCAAACAGCUCUGAGCAAACUGCAUUUACAAAUGAAUCUGAAAACAUGUGGAUUCAAUUUUCUUUGAAAUGCCCAGAGGUUAAAAAAUUAAGGGGAGAAUGUUUGGCAGACAGAGCCUGGGGUUUGGCUAUGUGCACAAAUUUCUGAAAAAUAAAUUGAUUGUUUUGCCAGAGAGAAAGUAUUACCUGGUCCCCCUUCUCAAUCACAUCUCUAACUUAAUUAUCAGUGGCCCCAUUUCUCAUUGUGCUUGCAAAGUGGACAAGAGGGUUGAGUUCAUUUAAGAGAAAGCAAGUUUUACUCAUUUGCAGGGUGGCCUUCUGCGUGGCCGACUCAGACCCUCAGUACUGUCGUGGGUUUCAACCCAGUGACAAGGUCGGGAGAAAACGGUCUGCAGGCAAAAUCGUUUCCCCUCUGCCUCUUGCCUCCCAUCAUCCUCCACUCAUCAAGUUUUACCCCACUUUUUUUCCUUCUGCCCCCCCCAAAUAAUACCUUUUUUAUGACCAAAUAAACACAGGCAAAUGUGGAACUGUUUUAGAGCAAAUCCAAACUGUUUUAAAAGAUCAUGAAAAUAGAGUGGGUGGGGAAAAACUCCAUCUGUGAAAAAGCAGUGAUUAGCCUUAAAACAAUGUGAGGCCAACAGCACAGAGUCCCAUUACGAGAUGAUGUGUGGUGCCUGUAAGUGGCUGUUCCUGGUCUCUGAGGUAGCACAGCUGUCACGUGGUUCUGUUGUUGCCAUGGCGAUAAUCUGUAAUUGUGCAGAAAAUCCACAGAACUCCUGAGCAACUCCUUAGUGGAUUGGGCUGAAAGAAAAUCAAAUCCAUGAAAGCCCUGAAUUGAUGGGGUUAUGAAAGCGCAUUGGCCAAGCUGGUCCAGUGGAAGCCGACCUGAUUUUGUGGAUUUCCUUCCCCUGGCCCCUGUCUAGCUUGGGUGAACUCCAUCUUUAUGUAUAUCUUUCACACUUGCGUGUUUGUAACUAGUGAGAGGUAUAAAUCCUGGUCAGCUGGGGAAACGCUUCAGCUCCUUAGAAUUCUGAGCACACAGUUUGGAAUCUUCAGGAUGGGAAUACUAGCACUGAGGACCAAGGCCUGAUUUGUACACAUAGGUGAAAAAAGAUCAGAGGGUCCACAGGGCCGGGUGGGUCUUUCUUCUCCAGCAAUGGCACCAAGAACACAUCCUGGGCAGGAGACUAGAACAGCGAGGGUGUGUUGUUCCUGGGGUAACUUGGCAACCGAGUACACACACAUGCACAGCACACCCAUCUGAAGACGUGCCAAGGCUCGCCUGCUUUAAGGCAAAGCUAAUACAAACCAUUCCCCAAAUACAGCCGGGAAACAGAGGGUAGGUAGCAGUUCUCUCUCCUGCUCUAGAUGCUGCCUGACAUUUAUGCAUGUAUCAGCCAUCAACUCCAAAUGGUUGAGGCCAUGAGUGAGUGUGGGGGCCCCUGACAGAAAAUUGAGCAGGAAGAGGAGCCAGACAAAUCGCUCUCAUGUUCCAAACUUCAUUGAGAAUCCCAUGGGAAUGUAGCUUUCGAGGAGAUCCCAUGAGAACAUCUGGGAUGAAGAUGCUCACGCCAGGCCCUAAACCCAGACUCAUUAGUAAUAAUGCUUCGUUUUUUGCUCAUUUAUUUAUUUAUCCUCUCAUAUACCACAAGUAUGAUUUGCAUUCCUUUUGCCCAUUUUCCUAGUGGGAGCAGGAAAAGGAAGAUCGAGAACGAGCAUGAAGCUGUAUACCGGGUGCUUUCUCUUAGACACCCUCUCAUUUGAGGUUAAUUCAUGGCAGGCAACCCUUGCCUUAAUUUAGGCAGAAAGGAAUGUAACAUAGGAGAAAGGAGGGCUCAUGGAUUUGGAGAAAGUUUUGAGAAUCAGGGUAGGAAUCAGAUAAGAAUCUUACAGCUUUAGGAUCUGUGUAGCAAGAAAGAAUAUGAACAGUCUGCUCCGAGUUUAUUACUAGAAUAUGUAGCUAUUUGUCAUCUUUCUCAAGAUUCAAAGUCUUGGUGGGGUGAAAGGUCAACAGGCCUAAUUUGGACCCUGAACUUAAUCGCCUCUUUGAAAGGCUGACAUGAGAGAGGAAGACGGGAGAUGGUUGCCCUUAAAUUAGAGUCUCAUCGGGAUCCCAUGAAGUGGAUGAGAGGGGAUUUCUCAGGACAACAGUGAAAGUGCACUUGUGGGGGGAAAGGUAUUGAUAUGGUGAUAGUCACAGUUUUGGCUUGGGGAAGGGAGAGUCCAACAGCGAGUGUCCCCAAUACGGCUUGAAGGGAAAGUUGACUUAUGGUAGAACGCCUGAGCAAAGGCUUGCUGAGGAAAAUAGCAGAGGGAGGGUAGGUGGAUGGAAAGUGAGGGAGAGUCUAGAAAAUACUGUGUUUGGCAUCCUCUUCAUGAAAGACUCUAACGAAGAAACAGCCACCUGGUUUGAUACCACACCAUGCUAAUGGGACAGGCUCCCUGCUGGUCAAAGCUCUCGGUUAAUGUCCACUUCUCAGCAUGUCUGAUGAUGGGUUGAAGUUGACCGAUCAGCAAACUACUCAAUUAUAAGCCCAUCUUCUCCCUGUGGUGCCACUAAUUAAAACAGGAACCACAUUGCUACUCACACACUCUGUGGCAUUUCCCCUUCCCACAGCUGCGUUAGUCACAACCAUUAGCCAGUGUCAGUGAGACUCAGUCACCUUUUCCCUUUUUUCCAACCCCAUUCCUAUUUGGUGUGAAUUCAUCAGUGAAAAACCUUCUGUUUGGAUUAUUGAUCCCCCCCCCCCCACACACACCCUGUGCUAUGACAAAGGAGCACGUAUGGUGGGAGCUUUGAAAUGCAACCUCAGAAUGCAGCUCUGUGGGAAUCUCAGUGUUCUGGAAUGCUCUGACCUUUUGUCCUGCCAAGCACCAUCCCCCCACUCCGAUCAUGUCAUGAAGGAUAUUUCUACAUGCACUUAAUUUUUAAGAAGAGAGAGAGGAGGAGUUCCCAUCGUGGCGCAGUGGUUAAUGAAUCAGACUAGGAACCAUGAGGUUGUGGGUUCGAUCCCUGGCCUUGCUCAGUGGGGUAAGGAUUUGGCAUUGUCGUGAGCUGUGGUGCGGGUCACAGACGUGGCUCGGAUCUGCAUUGCUGUGGCUCUGGUGUAGGCUGGCGGCUACAGCUCUGAUUAGACCCCUAGUGUGGGAACCUUCAUAUGCCACAGGAGCAGCCCUAGAAAAGGCAAAAAG
This 3261-nucleotide long non-coding RNA is filed under the name Sus scrofa (pig). RNAcentral's name for it is "lncRNA (ENSSSCG00000048841.2)". Lineage: Eukaryota; Metazoa; Chordata; Mammalia; Artiodactyla; Suidae. The record is from RNAcentral.